Molecule: ribosomal RNA, 484 nt
Filed under: uncultured bacterium
Lineage: Bacteria
Description: partial 16S ribosomal RNA
Rfam family: Bacterial small subunit ribosomal RNA
Source: RNAcentral
AUUGAACGCUGGCGGCAGGCCUAACACAUGCAAGUCGAGCGGAUGAAGGGAGCUUGCUCCUGGAUUCAGCGGCUGACGGGUGAGUAAUGCCUAGGAAUCUGCCUGGUAGUGGGGGAUAACGUCCGGAAACGGGCGCUAAUACCGCAUACGUCCUGAGGGAGAAAGUGGGGGAUCUUCGGACCUCACGCUAUCAUAUGAGCCUAGGUCGGAUUAGCUAGUUGGUGGGGUAAAGGCCUACCAAGGCGACGAUCCGUAACUGGUCUGAGAGGAUGAUCAGUCAGCUGGGAAGAGAGAAAGGGCAGAGACACUGAGAGGAGGAAGCAGUGGAGAAUAUUGGACGAGGGGGGAAAGGCGGAUCUAAGAAAACGGGGGGUGGGAAGAAGGACUCAGGAUGGGAAAGCAAUUUAAGUUGGGAGGAAGGGAAGUAAGUUAAUAGCGGGAUGUAUUGACGUUACCAAGAAAAGAAGCACCGGCUAACUUCGUG